This 490-nucleotide ribosomal RNA is filed under the name uncultured bacterium. RNAcentral describes it as "partial 16S ribosomal RNA". It matches the Rfam family "Bacterial small subunit ribosomal RNA", at positions 30 to 507 of the family's 1533-position model. The record is from RNAcentral.
AUUGAACGCUGGCGGCAGGCCUAACACAUGCAAGUCGAACGGUAACAGGAAGCAGCUUGCUGCUUUGCUGCCGAGUGGCGGACGGGUGAGUAAUGUCUGGGAAACUGCCCGAUGGAGGGGGAUAACUACUGGAAACGGUAGCUAAUACCGCAUAACGUCGCAAGACCAAAGAGGGGGACCUUAGGGCCUCUUGCCAUCGGAUGUGCCCCGAUGGGAUUAGCUAGUAGGUGGGGUAACGGCUCACCUAGGCGACGAUCCCUAGCUGGUCUGAGAGGAUGACCACCCACACUGGAACUGAGACACGGUCCAGACUCCUACGGGAGGCAGCAGUGGGGAAUAUUGCGCAAUGGGCGCAAGCCUGAUGCAGCCAUGCCGCGUGUAUGAAGAAGGCCUUCGGGUUGUAAAGUACUUUCAGCGGUGAGGAAGGGAGUAAAGUUAAUACCUUUGCUCAUUGACGUUACCCGCAGAAGAAGCACCGGCUAACUCCGUG